This 267-nucleotide long non-coding RNA is filed under the name Olea europaea (common olive). RNAcentral describes it as "long non-coding RNA (OEUR_LNC006865)". Lineage: Eukaryota; Viridiplantae; Streptophyta; Magnoliopsida; Lamiales; Oleaceae. The record is from RNAcentral.
AGAAGGACAGCUUUAUAUGCUGCGGUCUGGCUUAAAAUAUUAGAGCAUUAAAGUAAUUAAAUCAACUAGGCUUUUUAAGUGGGCUAUCCACAAUUUAUACUUCUUCUAUUGCGUGGCUUGAAGUUUGGACCGCCGAUUCUUCCUCUGCAAUAAUUAGUGGACUCGCCGGAACCCUAGAAACCGCGACUUGCAACCAUGGGUAAUUUUUUAUGCUUUUUUUUUUUUUUUUUUUUUUGUGUAUAUGUCCUUGGAUUAUUUCGAUUCCCG